GCCGCGUUAGCUCAGGGGUAGAGCACGAUCAUGGUAAGAUCGGGGUCUUGGGUUCAAAUCCCAAACGUGGCUCCA
Molecule: transfer RNA, 75 nt
Filed under: Candidatus Saccharimonadota bacterium
Lineage: Bacteria; Candidatus Saccharimonadota
Description: tRNA-Thr
Rfam family: tRNA
About the family: Transfer RNA (tRNA) molecules are approximately 80 nucleotides in length. Their secondary structure includes four short double-helical elements and three loops (D, anti-codon, and T loops).
Source: RNAcentral